RNAcentral lists this ribosomal RNA (330 nucleotides) under uncultured bacterium. RNAcentral's name for it is "bacterial SSU rRNA". It matches the Rfam family "Bacterial small subunit ribosomal RNA", at positions 568 to 898 of the family's 1533-position model. The record is from RNAcentral.
CGCGUAGGUGGUAGUGUAAGUCUGAGGUGGAAUCCUAUGGCUUAACCAUAGAACUGCCCUGGAUACUGUAUUACUUGAGUCAGUGAGGGGAGGGUAGAAUUCCUGGUGUAGCGGUGAAAUGCGUAGAUAUCAGGAGGAAGGCCUGUGGCGAAGGCGGCCCUCUGGCGCUGGACUGACACUGAGGCGCGAAAGCGUGGGGAGCAAACAGGAUUAGAUACCCUGGUAGUCCACGCCCUAAACGGUGGGCACUAGGUGUAGGGCUCGUAAGGGUUCUGUGCCGAAGGGAAACCAUUAAGUGCCCCGCCUGGGGAGUACGGCCGCAAGGUUGAA